RNAcentral lists this long non-coding RNA (479 nucleotides) under Elaeis guineensis (African oil palm). RNAcentral describes it as "long non-coding RNA (EGUI_LNC017534)". The record is from RNAcentral. Lineage: Eukaryota; Viridiplantae; Streptophyta; Magnoliopsida; Arecales; Arecaceae.
CCGCUCCAUCUACAUCAUCCGCUCCAUCAUCUGGAUCUGGAAGCGCUGAUAGUCGUCGAUCCGUGCAGCCAACUCCUGAGCCUGCUGUCGAUCCUCGACAAUCUGCUGUCGAUCCUCGACAGUCUGCCUCUGCACUUCCGUCAGCCGAGCCUGACAUGCAGAAUGGAUCUCAGCCCUAGAUGAUCGUGAGGAUGAGGGAGCAGUGAUCCCAUGUCCUAGACCCCUAACAUAAUAGGAUCUCGUACUGAGCACCCGAUCACAGAUCUCAUCAUCUGUGGGUGCGGUCGAGCCCUCAGGGGUAGGUUGGGAUCUCAUGUCGGUCAUACGAUUCUGAAAAUAAAAAUUAAAGUUAUUUUAAUUUUUUAAUAAAAAUCAAAUUGUGAAUGAAAAAAUAAUUAAAAAAACUUACAAAGAAUUCCUAGCUCCCCAUCGUCCACUCCUCCGACUAUUGCUGGUGGGUCCGCUGGUAGAUAUCGAUC